Molecule: long non-coding RNA, 2456 nt
Filed under: Gossypium barbadense (sea-island cotton)
Lineage: Eukaryota; Viridiplantae; Streptophyta; Magnoliopsida; Malvales; Malvaceae
Description: long non-coding RNA (GBAR_LNC021911)
Source: RNAcentral
UUAGCUAAUGAUGACAACUUUUAAAAUUGAUAUAACAGUAAUUUUAACAUUUAACAUUUAUAUAUUAUACUAAUUUAAUUUUGAUUCUAAAAAAUUUAACUCUCAACAUUUACAUAUUGUGUAAUUUAGUUUUUUUUCUAGAUUUUUAUUUUCUUUGUUACCACUAAGGAUCAAAAUGUUGCUUUGGAGAGCGGGUAACAACAUCCUUCCAGUGAGAAAAACUUUGGUUCAAAGGAGAAUUUCGGCACCCUUCUUAUGUUGUAUUUGUCGAGACAACAAUGAAUCUAUCUUGCAUGUGCUCUGCUCUUGUGCUGAAUUGACUAAAGUUCGAAACCUCCCAUCUUUCUCUUAUAAAGUCCAAGAUGUUGAAGGUAACUCGUUUUUUGAAUGGAUGAUCAAUUGCUUUCGAAAGCUUGGUAUAGAGGAGUUUCGAAGGUGAUGUUUUACAAUUUGGAAAAAUGAAAUAACUGAAAAUAAUUGAAAUUUGAGGGGGAUGGGUGAUGACACUAGCAUAGUGAUGAAUUUUGCCCAACCAUAUAUGAGGGAGCUUGAUGCUUCCUGUUUUGCCAAUCGAAUGGUACCAAUCCAUUAUCAUAGAAAAUGGAAGCUGUCGCUGAGAGACAUCCUUCUUAAGUUAAAUGUUGAUGUUGCUUUAACUGGUGAUAGAUGUAAUGUAGGGGGUACUUUGAGGGAACUGUGAUUGGAGAUUUGCCAAGAAAGCUUUACCUUUGCAUUCUGUGUUAGAAUAAUAAUAAUAAUUGACAUUUUGCAUUCUGUGUUAGAAUAAUAAUAAUAAUUGACAUAAAACUUAAUAGAUUAGGAUUUAUCAUAUCAAAUCAUCAAAUUAUCAAGAAUAAAUUAAAAACAAUAGUAGAUAAAAAAACGUACCUGAAUCACUUGAAAUCUUGAGAUAUUAAAAUCUUAUAGUUUUGAUCUUCCAAAUUAACAUAUAAGUAUUUUAAAAAAUGUGACACUCUCUUCUCUAAAGAUGAGAUGUCAUGUAUAAUUUGGGAGCAUACCCUUAAUAUAGAACAUGAAUACAUCCAAUUUAGUUUACCUUAGACCAUAAAAAUUUAUAAUAUGUAUCGACCAAAGGUGAUGCUUAUAAGUUGUAUAGCAACUAAAUAAAAAACUUUAAAACAAACAACUAAAGCACGUAGAAGGAAGAAAAAUGGAUUUCGCUACUGCAACCUUGUCAGGUUUUGAACAGCCUGGCUCGUUGAUACCUUCAGAGAUUGAACCAGUCACUAAAAAAGUCCAAAAUAAGGAGUGUAAUGUGACAUCUCUAGGAGACUUAACUAUGAAAGAAUCGUUUAAUUCGAAAUUGAUGGUGAAUGUAGGUAACAAGACUGGUGAUACAUAGGUGGUGAUGGUGAAUGAUGAUUUAGAAAUAAUGGAAGAUGAUAUUAGAAUUUCAUUGGAAGGUCCGUAUCCAGAGAUUUUCUUCUCAGACCGAGUGCAAGAAAUACUAGAUAAAAGCAUGGAUUUAACAGUAGUAGUUAGGCUUUUGGGACGAACAAUUGGGUACAAAACCCUCCUUAACAGAAUACAGACUCUUCUUGUUAGAUCGUUUUAGGUGAUCGCCAUAGAUAAUGAUUAUUACUUGGUAAAGUUUUCUUUGAGUCAAGACUAUACCAAAGCACUCACAGAGGGACCAUGAAUGGUUUAUGGGAAUUGCCUUACUGUUCAACUUGGAGUCAAGACUUCUCUACGGGCAAACAACAUCCCUCAAAGAUAGUGGUGUGGAUUAGAAUGUCGGGGCUCUCGUAUAGGUAUUAUAACAAGAAACUAUUGAGAAUAAUAGCAAGGACAUUGGGGAAGGUGGUAAAGGUGAACUAUAACAUAACAAAUGGUGAGUUUGGAUAGGCGGUGCGUUUAUCUGCGGUUAGUGUAAAAACAGCGGUGGCGGUGAGAUUAGAUAUUGUAACGAUAAUGUAGCGUGAGAUAAAAAGUAAGCUAAACGCACCGCAUCCAAUCGCCUAUCCAAACCCACCCAAAAUCAAGGAGAAGGAAGUUUGCGUGAUUUGCGAUUGUGGUAAAUCUGAUGAAACCGCUAAAGGCUUUUUUUGGAAUCAACAACGUCCCUUUUUGCAUUGAGUAUGAGGGGCUUCCUUUAAUAUGCUAUAAGUCUGGUUGUUAUGGACACCUUCAAGAGCGUUGUACAUUGGAAAGAAAGGAACCGAAGGAAGCUCGAUCUGUGGGUAAUGAAUCCAGACCGUCACCGCCGUCAAUAGAGAGGAUAAUGGCUGGCCAAAACUGCUUUGGUCUGUGAAUGCAAGCUCUUGGCUGGAAAUUGACAAAAUAAUUGGCAGCAAACAAUUAUAGGAAGAAACAAAAUGGUGUUAAAUUAGCCUCGAAAAAUACUCAUUUUGAUAUUCUUGUAGAUUUGGAUGACACGAUAAUUGAGGAAUUGCGGGAUUUUGGGAAUGCAAAUUUUUUAGGUGAUAAGGGAAGUG